GAUGGCUACCACUUCUAAGGAAGGCAGCAGGCGCGCAAAUUACCCAAUAGCAAUACGCUGAGGUAGUGACAAGAAAUACCAAUAUGGGUCCCCGCAAGGGAUCUGUAAUUGGAAUGAAACCAAUUUAAACCUCUCAAUGAGUACCAAUUGGAGGACAAGUCUGGUGCCAGCACCCGCGGUAAUUCCAGCUCCAAUAGCGUAUAUUAAAGUUGUUGCAGUUAAAACGCUCGUAGUCGGCUUCAGACCCCUACUUCGUUGGUCUACCGGAAGGUGUGUACUGACAUGUGGGGGUCCCAGCUCUGUCGAUCUUCCGGUCUUAACUGGCUGGUUGAAAGACGGGGCCUAUUACCUUGAACAAAUUAGAGUGUUUAAAGCAGGCCAAUAAGCCGGGAUAGAUUAGCAUGGGAUAACAUAAUAAGACAUGUGCUUUUUUUGUUGGUAUGGGGGGCAUAUGUAAUGAUUAAAAGGGGUGAUCGGGGACAUACAUAUUUCAUUGUCAGAGGUGAAAUUCUUAGAUUGGUGAAAGAUGAACAAAUGCGAAAGCAAUUGUCUGGGGCACCCCCAUUGAUCAAGAACGAAAGUUAGGGGAUCGAAGACGAUCAGAUACCGUCGUAGUCCUAACUGUAAAUUUUGUCGACCAGAAAUCGCGGGAUGUUACUUGGAUGACUUCCGCAGCAUCUUUCGGGAAACCAGAGUUUUUGGAUUCCGGGGGGAGUAUGGUCGCAAGGCUGAAA
This 734-nucleotide ribosomal RNA is filed under the name uncultured Choanoflagellida. RNAcentral's name for it is "bacterial SSU rRNA". It matches the Rfam family "Eukaryotic small subunit ribosomal RNA", at positions 402 to 1142 of the family's 1831-position model. Lineage: Eukaryota; Choanoflagellata. The record is from RNAcentral.